GAUGAACGCUGGCGGCGUGCCUAAUACAUGCAAGUCGAGCGAACAGACGAGGAGCUUGCUCCUCUGAUGUUAGCGGCGGACGGGUGAGUAACACGUGGAUAACCUACCUAUAAGACUGGGAUAACUUCGGGAAACCGGAGCUAAUACCGGAUAACAUGUUGAACCGCAUGGUUCAACAGUGAAAGACGGUUUUGCUGUCACUUAUAGAUGGAUCCGCGCCGCAUUAGCUAGUUGGUAAGGUAACGGCUUACCAAGGCAACGAUGCGUAGCCGACCUGAGAGGGUGAUCGGCCACACUGGAACUGAGACACGGUCCAGACUCCUACGGGAGGCAGCAGUAGGGAAUCUUCCGCAAUGGGCGAAAGCCUGACGGAGCAACGCCGCGUGAGUGAAGAAGGUCUUCGGAUCGUAAAACUCUGUUAUUAGGGAAGAACAAAUGUGUAAGUAACUAUGCACGUCUUGACGGUACCUAAUCAGAAAGCCACGGCUAACUACGU
Molecule: ribosomal RNA, 496 nt
Filed under: uncultured bacterium
Lineage: Bacteria
Description: partial 16S ribosomal RNA
Rfam family: Bacterial small subunit ribosomal RNA
Source: RNAcentral